This 424-nucleotide ribosomal RNA is filed under the name uncultured bacterium. RNAcentral describes it as "bacterial SSU rRNA". It matches the Rfam family "Bacterial small subunit ribosomal RNA", at positions 355 to 772 of the family's 1533-position model. The record is from RNAcentral.
UGGGGAAUUGUUCGCAAUGGGCGCAAGCCUGACGACGCAACGCCGCGUGGAGGAUGAAGGUCUUCGGAUUGUAAACUCCUGUUGCUCGGGACGAAAAGCUUCGACCUAAUACGUCGAAGUCUGACGGUACCGAGUGAGGAAGCCCCGGCUAACUCCGUGCCAGCAGCCGCGGUAAUACGGAGGGGGCUAGCGUUGUUCGGAAUUACUGGGCGUAAAGCGCACGUAGGCGGCGAUUUAAGUCAGAGGUGAAAGCCCGGGGCUCAACCCCGGAAUAGCCUUUGAGACUGGAUUGCUUGAAUCUUGGAGAGGCGGGUGGAAUUCCGAGUGUAGAGGUGAAAUUCGUAGAUAUUCGGAAGAACACCAGUGGCGAAGGCGGCCCGCUGGACAAGUAUUGACGCUGAGGUGCGAAAGCGUGGGGAGCAAA